RNAcentral lists this ribosomal RNA (1369 nucleotides) under metagenome. RNAcentral's name for it is "SSU rRNA". It matches the Rfam family "Eukaryotic small subunit ribosomal RNA", at positions 3 to 1379 of the family's 1831-position model. The record is from RNAcentral.
CCUGGUUGAUCCUGCCAGAAGUCAUAUGCUUGUCUCAAAGAUUAAGCCAUGCAUGUCUAAGUAUAAACACUUUAUACUGUGAAACUGCGAAUGGCUCAUUAAAUCAGUUAGAGUUUAUUUGAUAUUGUCUUACUACUUGGAUAACCGUGGUAAUUCUAGAGCUAAUACAUGCCAAAACAUCCGACUUUUUGGAAGGAUGGUAUAUAUUAGAUCCAAAAUCAAUCAAGGGGCAACUCUUGUUUUGUGAUGAUUCAUAAUAUAUUAACGAAUCGCAUGACCUUGAGUCGGCGAUAAAUCAUUCAAAUUUCUGCCCUAUCAACUUUUGAUGGUAGUAUAUAGGACUACCAUGGUGAUAACGGGUAACGGAGGAUUAGGGUUUGAUUCCGGAGAGGGAGCCUGAGAAACGGCUACCACAUCCAAGGUAGGCAGCAGGCGCGCAAAUUACCCAAUCUCGACACGAGGAGGUAGUGACAAUAAAUAACAAUGCAGGGCUUUUUAAGUCUUGCAAUUGGAAUGAGUACAAUUUAAAAUCAUUAACGAGGAACAAUUGGAGGGCAAGUCUGGUGCCAGCAGCCGCGGUAAUUCCAGCUCCAAUAGCGUAUAUUUAUGUUGUUGCAGUUAAAAAGCUCGUAGUUGGAUUUCGGAACGGAACAACUGGUCUGCCUUUUGGUGUGUACAGUUUGUCUGUUCUUUUGUUUGAGGAAAUUUCUUGUUUUUCAUUAGAUAGGGAAUGAACUCAGACCGUUUACUUUGAAAAAAUUAGAGUGUUUAAAGCAGGCUAUUGCCUUGAAUACAUUAGCAUGGAAUAAUAAAAUAGGACUUUAGUUCUAUUUUGUUGGUUUCUAGGACUAAAGUAAUGAUUAAUAGGGGCAGUUGGGGGCAUUAAUAUUUAAUUGUCAGAGGUGAAAUUCUUGGAUUUAUGAAAGAUUAACUUCUGCGAAAGCAUUUGCCAAGGAUGUUUUCAUUAAUCAAGAACGAAAGUUUGGGGAUCGAAGAGGAUUAGAUACCCUCGUAGUCCAGACCAUAAAAAUGCCGACUAGGGAUUGGUGAAUGUUCAUUUAUGACUUCAUCAGCAUCUUCCGAGAAAUCAAAGUUUUUGGGUUCUGGGGGGAGUAUGGUCGCAAGGCUGAAACUUAAAGGAAUUGACGGAAGGGCACCACCAGGAGUGGAGCCUGCGGCUUAAUUUGACCCAACACGGGAAAACUUACCAGGUCCAGACAUAGUAAGGAUUGACAGAUUGAGAGCUCUUUCUUGAUUCUAUGGGUGGUGGUGCAUGGCCGUUCUUAGUUGGUGGAGUGAUUUGUCUGCUUAAUUGCGAUAACGAACGAGACCUCAGCCUACUAAAUAGUUACGCAAGCACUAUGCUUGU